AGAGCGAACGCUGGCGGCAGGCCUAACACAUGCAAGUCGAGCGCGUGUAGCAAUACACGAGCGGCAGACGGGAGAGUAACACGUGGGAACGCGCCCUUUGGUUCGGAAUAACUCAGGGAAACUUGAGCUAAUACCGGAUAAGCCCUUACGGGGAAAGAUUUAUCGCCAAAGGAACGGCCCGCGUCCGAUUAGCUAGUUGGUGAGGUAACGGCUCACCAAGGCGACGAUCGGUAGCUGGUCUGAGAGGAUGACCAGCCUCACUGGGACUGAGACACGGCCCAGACUCCUACGGGAGGCAGCAGUGGGGAAUAUUGGACAAUGGGCGCAAGCCUGAUCCAGCCAUGCCGCGUGGAUGAUGAAGGCCUUAGGGUUGUAAAGUCCUUUUAACGGGGAAGAUAAUGACGGUACCCGUAGAAUAAGCCCGGCUAACUUCGUGCCAGCAGCCGC
This 447-nucleotide ribosomal RNA is filed under the name uncultured bacterium. RNAcentral describes it as "SSU rRNA". It matches the Rfam family "Bacterial small subunit ribosomal RNA", at positions 26 to 518 of the family's 1533-position model. The record is from RNAcentral.